This 990-nucleotide long non-coding RNA is filed under the name Homo sapiens (human). RNAcentral describes it as "non-protein coding lnc-SNRPN-5:3". The record is from RNAcentral. Lineage: Eukaryota; Metazoa; Chordata; Mammalia; Primates; Hominidae.
AGGAAGGCCUAGCUCAGCUCACCUCUGGAAAGGUCUCCAAGCUGUGUGAUCUGGGGAAUCGUGGAGGGGUUUUGAGCUCAGGUGUCUUCUGCCAGCUGGACUCUGAGACCCUGGCCUGCUGGGGCGAGGAUGAGGCUCUGAUGUGGUCUGGUCAACUCUGGGUUGGCCAUCUGCACCACAGGGCUCUAACAAGGGCCUGCUAUAGGCCAUGAGAACCACUGCUUCUGCUUUAGGCAAUGGGGACACCUGGGAAACACAGAUAUCCAGAAGACCAGCCCAUCUAUAAAAUUGGGUGUCAAGGAGCCCAUCUCCAUUUUAGAAAGACAGAGAUGCGUUCUGGGCCGUUGCCCGGGAAAGAAUGUCUACCAGGACAGUUCUGAGAAGGCUCAGCAUCAUAUCUAAACACAGGAAAGGAAUUCCCUGUUGGAAAAUUCAGGAUGACAACUGUGGGUAGCAAGCCAAGGCAAAGGGCAGAACGUGGAGCAGCAUUUGAGGCUCCAGCCAAUUCCAGCCUGUCUGCAGGCACUGCCUGCCUCCACGGCUGUCAGGUGUCGCCCCCAGGAGCUACGUAGGGCGAAGCUAGGCAGGCUUUCAGUGCCAGCUGUGGUUUCCCCAACAGCUCACAGGCCAGAGGCCCCGCCCAGGCCACCUCCUCCAGUCCCCCUGCCGCGGGGUGGUCUUCGGUGGUCUCACUCUCCCUCCCACUGCAUUUCCAUCUCUGCUGUAAUAUACCACCUCAGCCCUUCCUUUUUGAUUCCCAAGAGCAAAUUUUGGAAAUAAAGCAACCUGAAAACAUGCUGUUGCUCAUUUUAUGCCUCCUAUAUCCGUUCUCUCCCAAAUGACUAAUAGAAAGCUCCAGUCACCAAGAUCAACUUCUCUAAAUCCUACCUCCUUCCGCUUGUAAACACCAAGUGCCCCUAUGUGAUACCAUGGCACCAAGUGCCAUGACAGAAACCUCUGCAGGGCUCUGGAAGUCAAAGAACUGUUAAU